Molecule: ribosomal RNA, 465 nt
Filed under: Vreelandella stevensii
Lineage: Bacteria; Pseudomonadati; Pseudomonadota; Gammaproteobacteria; Oceanospirillales; Halomonadaceae
Description: partial 16S ribosomal RNA
Rfam family: Bacterial small subunit ribosomal RNA
Source: RNAcentral
CCUACGGGCGGCUGCAGUGGGGAAUAUUGGACAAUGGGCGAAAGCCUGAUCCAGCCAUGCCGCGUGUGUGAAGAAGGCCUUCGGGUUGUAAAGCACUUUCAGUGGGGAAGAAAGCCUUGGGGCUAAUACCCUCGAGGAAGGACAUCACCCACAGAAGAAGCACCGGCUAACUCCGUGCCAGCAGCCGCGGUAAUACGGAGGGUGCGAGCGUUAAUCGGAAUUACUGGGCGUAAAGCGCGCGUAGGCGGUCUGAUAAGCCGGUUGUGAAAGCCCCGGGCUCAACCUGGGAACGGCAUCCGGAACUGUCAGGCUAGAGUGCAGGAGAGGAAGGUAGAAUUCCCGGUGUAGCGGUGAAAUGCGUAGAGUUCGGGAGGAAUACCAGUGGCGAAGGCGGCCUUCUGGACUGACACUGACGCUGAGGUGCGAAAGCGUGGGUAGCAAACAGGAUUAGAUACCCGAGUAGUC